Molecule: transfer RNA, 114 nt
Filed under: Colletotrichum chlorophyti
Lineage: Eukaryota; Fungi; Ascomycota; Sordariomycetes; Glomerellales; Glomerellaceae
Rfam family: tRNA
About the family: Transfer RNA (tRNA) molecules are approximately 80 nucleotides in length. Their secondary structure includes four short double-helical elements and three loops (D, anti-codon, and T loops).
Source: Rfam by way of RNAcentral
GUCUCUGUGGCUCAGUCGGUAGAGCGUUGGUCUCAUAUUACUUCAAUCAAUAUGACGCUGGGAACUCAUCCCGGGGAUAUCCAAAGGUCGCAAGUUCGAGCCUUGCCAGGGACA